GAUGAACGCUGGCGGCGUGCCUAAUACAUGCAAGUCGAGCGAACGGACGAGAAGCUUGCCUCUCUGAUGUUAGCGGCGGACGGGUGAGUAACACGUGGAUAACCUACCUAUAAGACUGGGAUAACUUCGGGAAACCGUAGCUAAUACCGGAUAAUAUUUUGAACCGCAUGGUUCAAAAGUGAAAGACGGUCUUGCUGUCACUUAUAGAUGGAUCCGCGCUGCAUUAGCUAGUUGGUAAGGUAACGGCUUACCAAGGCAACGAUGCAUAGCCGACCUGAGAGGGUGAUAGGCCACACUGGAACUGAGACAAGGUCCAGACUCCUAAGGGAGGCAGCAGUAGGGAAUCUUCCGCAAUGGGCGAAAGCCUGACGGAGCAACGCCGCGUGAGUGAUGAAGGUCUUCGGAUCGUAAAACUCUGUUAUUAGGGAAGAACAUAUGUGUAAGUAACUGUGCACAUCUUGACGGUACCUAAUCAGAAAGCCACGGCUAACUACGUG
This 497-nucleotide ribosomal RNA is filed under the name uncultured bacterium. RNAcentral's name for it is "partial 16S ribosomal RNA". It matches the Rfam family "Bacterial small subunit ribosomal RNA", at positions 28 to 507 of the family's 1533-position model. The record is from RNAcentral.